GGUUAAGCGACUAAGCGUACACGGUGGAUGCCCUGGCAGUCAGAGGCGAUGAAGGACGUGCUAAUCUGCGAAAAGCGCCGGCGAGGUGAUAUGAACCCUUGACCCGGCGAUGUCCGAAUGGGGAAACCCAGUGCAAUCCGUUGCACUAUCGUUAACUGAAUACAUAGGUUAACGAGGCGAACCGGGGGAACUGAAACAUCUAAGUACCCCGAGGAAAAGAAAUCAACCGAGAUUCCCCCAGUAGCGGCGAGCGAACGGGGAGCAGCCCAGAGUCUGAAUCAGCUUGUGUGUUAGUGGAAGCGUCUGGAAAGUCGCACGGUACAGGGUGAAAGUCCCGUACACGAAAGCACACAGGCUGUGAACUCGAAGAGUAGGGCGGGACACGUGGUAUCCUGUCUGAAUAUGGGGGGACCAUCCUCCAAGGCUAAAUACUCCUGACUGACCGAUAGUGAACCAGUACCGUGAGGGAAAGGCGAAAAGAACCCCGGCGAGGGGAGUGAAAAAGAACCUGAAACCGUGUACGUACAAGCAGUGGGAGCACCUUCGGGUGUGACUGCGUACCUUUUGUAUAAUGGGUCAGCGACUUAUAUUCUGUAGCAAGGUUAACCGUAUAGGGGAGCCGAAGGGAAACCGAGUCUUAACUGGGCGUUAAGUUGCAGGGUAUAGACCCGAAACCCGGUGAUCUAGCCAUGGGCAGGUUGAAGGUUGGGUAACACUAACUGGAGGACCGAACCGACUAAUGUUGAAAAAUUAGCGGAUGACCUGUGGCUGGGGGUGAAAGGCCAAUCAAACCGGGAGAUAGCUGGUUCUCCCCGAAAGCUAUUUAGGUAGCGCCUCGUGAACUCAUCUUCGGGGGUAGAGCACUGUUUCGGCUAGGGGGCCAUCCCGGCUUACCAACCCGAUGCAAACUACGAAUACCGAAGAAUGUUAUCACGGGAGACACACGGCGGGUGCUAACGUCCGUCGUGAAGAGGGAAACAACCCAGACCGCCAGCUAAGGUCCCAAAGUCAUGGUUAAGUGGGAAACGAUGUGGGAAGGCCCAGACAGCCAGGAUGUUGGCUUAGAAGCAGCCAUCAUUUAAAGAAAGCGUAAUAGCUCACUGGUCGAGUCGGCCUGCGCGGAAGAUGUAACGGGGCUAAACCAUGCACCGAAGCUGCGGCAGCGACACUAUGUGUUGUUGGGUAGGGGAGCGUUCUGUAAGCCGUUGAAGGUGGCCUGUGAGGGUUGCUGGAGGUAUCAGAAGUGCGAAUGCUGACAUAAGUAACGAUAAAGCGGGUGAAAAGCCCGCUCGCCGGAAGACCAAGGGUUCCUGUCCAACGUUAAUCGGGGCAGGGUGAGUCGACCCCUAAGGCGAGGCCGAAAGGCGUAGUCGAUGGGAAACAGGUUAAUAUUCCUGUACUUGGUGUUACUGCGAAGGGGGGACGGAGAAGGCUAUGUUAGCCGGGCGACGGUUGUCCCGGUUUAAGCAUGUAGGCGGAGGUUCCAGGUAAAUCCGGUACCUUUUAACGCUGAGGUGUGAUGACGAGGCACUACGGUGCUGAAGUAACAAAUGCCCUGCUUCCAGGAAAAGCCUCUAAGCAUCAGGUAACACGAAAUCGUACCCCAAACCGACACAGGUGGUCAGGUAGAGAAUACCAAGGCGCUUGAGAGAACUCGGGUGAAGGAACUAGGCAAAAUGGUGCCGUAACUUCGGGAGAAGGCACGCUGAUAUGUAGGUGAAGCCCCUGCGGGUGGAGCUGAAAUCAGUCGAAGAUACCAGCUGGCUGCAACUGUUUAUUAAAAACACAGCACUGUGCAAACACGAAAGUGGACGUAUACGGUGUGACGCCUGCCCGGUGCCGGAAGGUUAAUUGAUGGGGUUAGCGGUAACGCGAAGCUCUUGAUCGAAGCCCCGGUAAACGGCGGCCGUAACUAUAACGGUCCUAAGGUAGCGAAAUUCCUUGUCGGGUAAGUUCCGACCUGCACGAAUGGCGUAAUGAUGGCCAGGCUGUCUCCACCCGAGACUCAGUGAAAUUGAACUCGCUGUGAAGAUGCAGUGUACCCGCGGCAAGACGGAAAGACCCCGUGAACCUUUACUAUAGCUUGACACUGAACACUGGUCCUUGAUGUGUAGGAUAGGUGGGAGGCUUUGAAGCGUGGACGCCAGUCUGCGUGGAGCCGUCCUUGAAAUACCACCCUUUAAUGGCUGGUGUUCUAACGUAGACCCGUAAUCCGGGUUGCGGACAGUGUCUGGUGGGUAGUUUGACUGGGGCGGUCUCCUCCCAAAGAGUAACGGAGGAGCACGAAGGUUAGCUAAUCCUGGUCGGACAUCAGGAGGUUAGUGCAAUGGCAUAAGCUAGCUUGACUGCGAGAGUGACGGCUCGAGCAGGUGCGAAAGCAGGUCAUAGUGAUCCGGUGGUUCUGAAUGGAAGGGCCAUCGCUCAACGGAUAAAAGGUACUCCGGGGAUAACAGGCUGAUACCGCCCAAGAGUUCAUAUCGACGGCGGUGUUUGGCACCUCGAUGUCGGCUCAUCACAUCCUGGGGCUGAAGUAGGUCCCAAGGGUAUGGCUGUUCGCCAUUUAAAGUGGUACGCGAGCUGGGUUUAGAACGUCGUGAGACAGUUCGGUCCCUAUCUGCCGUGGGCGCUGGAGAAUUGAGGGGGGCUGCUCCUAGUACGAGAGGACCGGAGUGGACGCAUCACUGGUGUUCGGGUUGUCAUGCCAAUGGCACUGCCCGGUAGCUAAAUGCGGAAGAGAUAAGUGCUGAAAGCAUCUAAGCACGAAACUUGCCCCGAGAUGAGUUCUCCCUGAGACUUAAAGUCUCCUGAAGGAACGUUAAAGACGAUGACGUUGAUAGGUCGGGUGUGUAAGCGCAGCGAUGCGUUGAGCUAACCGAUACUAAUGAACCGUGAGGCUUAACCUU
Molecule: ribosomal RNA, 2903 nt
Filed under: Enterobacter cloacae
Lineage: Bacteria; Pseudomonadati; Pseudomonadota; Gammaproteobacteria; Enterobacterales; Enterobacteriaceae
Description: 23S ribosomal RNA
Rfam family: Bacterial large subunit ribosomal RNA
Source: RNAcentral